Molecule: long non-coding RNA, 2589 nt
Organism: Columba livia (rock pigeon)
Lineage: Eukaryota; Metazoa; Chordata; Aves; Columbiformes; Columbidae
Exons: 5
Source: RefSeq, a predicted model, not a curated record
CACCGUGCUCCUGCUGGGAAGGGGAGGCGAGGCGAGUGGGCUUGGGUCACUGGGAGCUGGAUUUGGUCGCGGCUCCGGUGAGGCAAGCGGGGGCAACCUCGCUACCCUGCUCGCUCGCUGCCCUCUCGGGCCUGAAAGUCAUGGGCCGGUAGUUCGUCCCCACAACUUGGGCUAGUGAGACCUUAGUGAACCUGAGUCGGGGCGGGGGGAGGCGCCACCUGCAAUUUUAGAAUCAAAGUCACGCACCCGCAACAGAUACCUGGGUGACGCUGUGCUUUGCCUGGUCUGAAUCUGAGUCCCGGGGCAUAACUCACACGCCAUCAGAUGGGCAUCGUGCAGCACUGUGGCUCAGUGUCACGUUAGUGUGAGGUGCGGGCUACCUCCGUGGGAAGAAGUUUCAGAGCAUUAACCCCGAGGGUGGGGCUGUUCUGGGUUUAAAUGGAAGAGAAACUGCCUUUGGAAUUUCAUCUGACUUGAGGCGAGGAGGGAAGCAAUUCACUUUUAUGUAUAUUUUGGGCAAAUAAUAUGAGUUUAUAUCCUGUGCAAAAUUGCAAAAGUAGGAAGUAAAUGUAUAGAUAGUUGCUUUUUUAAAGAAGUCACUUUAUUUGUAAAGUUCACUGGUGAUUACUGUAUUUAUCUGUUGCACCUGUCAGGUGCAUCGUGUUUAAACCUCAACAGAUGGAGAGUUAUUAAGUCAGCUACCCACUAAUUCUUCAAUAGUGUAAUUCUUGAAAUGAAAAUCUGCCAAGGCUAAGAUUUGUGUUACAUGCAAUUUGUGAUCACUUACCUCUUGAAUUCACUGUGUUUUGAAACUAAAUCACAGAAUGCAGAUAAAAUACAAGAUGUCUUUACAGGAGAAUCUAAUGUGUGCUUGGAUCACUUUUACAGCAACACUGAAAACUUCACCUCAGAUCAGCUCUGGAUUUGACUAUGCCAAGCUUUCAAUUUCUUGGAGAAAACAAAUACAAGCAAUGUCAUGGGCUAAUGCCAUAAGGCACGGACAACCUGGCUGUCCCUUCCUGACCCCAGAAAAACAGUAUGAGAAUUCCAGCUGCUCUUGCUGAUCAGAGGGUGCUGAAAUGCCGUGACAGCACAGGAUGGAGAAACGGAAAAUACCAAGUCUGAAGAAAAAUUAGUAGGAAGAAGGAAAAGAGAAAAAAAAAGUGGAAAAAUGAGUUAUUCAACUCUCUUGUAACAUUUAUAAAUCUUCCUCUACCUGCUAUCUCUUCCUUUAUAAGCAUUAUUAGGUGACGUGCAAGAAGUUAUUAUUUUAUGACUGCUGAGUAAGGAAACUCAAACUGUAUUUUGAAUGUUGUUUACCACCUUACAAGAACUUCAGUAUUCCUUGAAUACUUAAUAUUUACAAAACCAAGUAGGCAAAGACAGGAAGGCUAAGAAAUCAAGGUUUCUAAACUUAAGAAAUGCAAAGAAAUGCACUAACUGCAUAAUCAAAUUAUUAUUCAUUUGUACACAGACUGGGCAGUGUUCUCUAGAUAGACAGUUAUUCAGUAUUUUGGCUAUUAUACCCCACUUCUGGUCAAUGUGUAGGUACAAAAAGGCAUUUAAAAAGGUUUAAAAAUGCCUUUUUAUGCCUUAUUAAUUACGUUGACCCUAUACAGAAGAAAUGCCACUCUAAAAGCAGAAUUGUUCAUCUUCUCAUGACUUUUUAUGCUGCUUGUAAAUGUAGCACUUGGGUAUUUCACAAUUCUCCUGUGAUAGAAAGAUAUGGUAUUCUCUCCACUUCGUGAAGAGAAGCAUACAGCCAGAAAUUAAAGAUGGAAGUUUAUAUUAAUUCAGAUACCCCAUCUGAAAUGUCUACAACUUGGUUUCAAAGUAUCUAAUAAAUACCUGUGACAACCUUAAAGCACUCCCUCCAUCCCAAUUAAAACAAAGAAUGACGUUAUGCCUUAAACACCUAGUUUUUGAUACUUUGGGUGGAAAAGAUAGAUGGCUGUGGAGGCAGACACCUUGUCUUUUCGUUCCCAAGGUUUUGUGCAAUUCACAGUGUUGCUGUGAAGGCCUCAUGGCCUAACUGGAGUGAUAGACAAGACCCAUCUGUCAGACAACCAAUUACCAGAAGAAACCACGAACCAAUAUCUACCUCUGAUGGGCAAAACAACUCUAUUCUGCUCAGUACUGUGAACUUUCCCCUAGUCUGAAGACCCCAAACCCAUUUCCAGAAGAGUCUUCCUAAUUAGCAAGAAGAGCAAACAGAGGGAGGAGAUGAACUGCCCUCCUCUAUCUCACAUGUAAAUGAACUGGAUUAUAAAACGACCUCACGCGUGACAUGAAGUCGUGGCAUGUACCAAAAUCUUCUACGCGUCUUCCCCCUUCCAGAGGACGUUGUGAGACAGAUGGACCUCUGGAAUGGUGAUAUCUUACUCCCUCUCUCUCUCUCUCUGAUAUCUUAGUUUUCCUUCUCUCUCUCUCUUUUCCUUCUUCUUGAACAUACAAAGGUAAUGUCAUUGUAAGUUCUGCUGCUAAAGUCUUGUGAAGUUUUGUGAUAUGAUAAUAGACUUUUGCCAAGUCACUAAUCACCAUAAUUUGUAUUUCACCAAGUGCUUUUAGUAAAUUCAUAAUUGAAUUCAA